RNAcentral lists this ribosomal RNA (297 nucleotides) under uncultured soil bacterium. RNAcentral's name for it is "partial 16S ribosomal RNA". It matches the Rfam family "Bacterial small subunit ribosomal RNA", at positions 26 to 351 of the family's 1533-position model. The record is from RNAcentral.
AGAACGAACGCUGGCGGCAUGCCUAAUACAUGCAAGUCGAACGAAGGCUUCGGCCUUAGUGGCGCACGGGUGCGUAACGCGUGGGAAUCUGCCCCUUGGUUCGGAAUAACAGUUGGAAACGACUGCUAAUACCGGAUGAUGACGAAAGUCCAAAGAUUUAUCGCCAAGGGAUGAGCCCGCGUAGGAUUAGCUAGUUGGUGAGGUAAAGGCUCACCAAGGCGACGAUCCUUAGCUGGUCUGAGAGGAUGAUCAGCCACACUGGGACUGAGACACGGCCCAGACUCCUACGGGAGGCAG